UAGGGAAUCUUCCACAAUGGACGCAAGUCUGAUGGAGCAACGCCGCGUGAGUGAAGAAGGUUUUCGGACCGUAAAGCUCUGUUGUUGGUGAAGAAGGAUAGAGGUAGUAACUGGCCUUUAUUUGACGGUAAUCAACCAGAAAGUCACGGCUAACUACGUGCCAGCAGCCGCGGUAAUCGUAGGUGGCAAGCGUUGUCCGGAUUUAUUGGGCGUAAAGCGAGCGCAGGCGGAAGAAUAAGUCUGAUGUGAAAGCCCUCGGCUUAACCGAGGAAUUGCAUCGGAAACUGUUUUCUUGAGUGCAGAAGAGGAGAGUAGAACUCCAUGUGUAGCGGUGGAAUGCGUAGAUAUAUGGAAGAAUACCAGUGGCGAAGGCGGCUCUCUGGUCUGCAACUGACGCUGAGGCUCGAAAGCAUGGGUAGCGAACAGGAUUAGAUACCCUGGUAGUCCAUGCCGUAAACGAUGAGUGCUAAGUGUUGGGAGGCUUCCGCCUCUCAGUGCUGCAGCUAACGCAUUAAGCACUCCGCCUGGGGGAGUACGACCGCAAAGGUUGAAAC
This 554-nucleotide ribosomal RNA is filed under the name uncultured bacterium. RNAcentral's name for it is "partial 16S ribosomal RNA". It matches the Rfam family "Bacterial small subunit ribosomal RNA", at positions 355 to 900 of the family's 1533-position model. The record is from RNAcentral.